RNAcentral lists this ribosomal RNA (440 nucleotides) under uncultured bacterium. Its description in RNAcentral is "partial 16S ribosomal RNA". It matches the Rfam family "Bacterial small subunit ribosomal RNA", at positions 338 to 795 of the family's 1533-position model. The record is from RNAcentral.
CCUACGGGAGGCAGCAGUGGGGGAUAUUGCACAAUGGGGGAAACCCUGAUGCAGCGACGCCGCGUGGGUGAAGAAGCGCCUCGGCGCGUAAAGCCCUGUCAGCAGGGAAGAAAAUGACGGUACCUGAAGAAGGAGCCCAGGCUAACUACGUGCCAGCAGCCGCGGGAAUACGUAGGGGGCAAGCGUUAUCCGGAUUUACUGGGUGUAAAGGGGGCGCAGACGGCGAUGCAAGCCAGGAGUGAAAGCCCGGGGCGCAACCCCGGGACUGCGCGUGGAACUGGGGGGCCAGAGUGCAGGAGGGGCAGGCGGAAUUCCUGGUGUAGCGGUGAAAUGCGUAGAUAUCAGGAGGAACACCGGUGGCGAAGGCGGCCUGCUGGACUGCAACUGACGUUGAGGCCCGAAAGCGUGGGGAGCAAACAGGAUUAGAUACCCGUGUAGUC